Molecule: ribosomal RNA, 569 nt
Filed under: Stegastes flavilatus (beaubrummel damselfish)
Lineage: Eukaryota; Metazoa; Chordata; Actinopteri; Pomacentridae
Description: partial large subunit ribosomal RNA
Rfam family: Bacterial large subunit ribosomal RNA
Source: RNAcentral
UAAGAGGUCAUGCCUGCCCAAUGACCAUGUGUUCAAUGGCCGCGGUAUUUUAACUGCGCGAAGGUAGCGUAAUCAUUUGUCUUUUAAAUGCAGACCUGUAUGAAUGGCGUGACGAGGGCUUAACUGUCUCCUUUUUCCAGUCAAUGAAAUUGAUCUCCCCGUGCAGAAGCGGGGAUACCCCCAUAAGACGAGAAGACCCUGUGGAGCUUUAGACACUAAACAGACAAUAGUACAUCCGCACAAAGAUUCAAACCUAAUGAACUCCUGCCAUUAUGUCUUUGGUUGGGGCGACCCCGGAGAUUCACAAACCCCCCGUAUGGACUAGGAGCAAAACUUCAUCCUUUCUUUUUCACCACCCAAAACCAAGAGACACCGCUCUAAUUAACAGAACUUCUGACCUAUGAGGAUCCGGCUUAUGCCGAUCAACGGACCAAGUUACCCCAGGGAUAACAGCGCAAUCCUCUUCUAGAGUCCCUAUCGACAAGAGGGUUUACGACCUCGAUGUUGGAUCAGGGCAUCCUAAUGGUGCAGCCGCUAUUAAGGGUUCGUUUGUUCAACGAUUAAAGCCC